UUUGCCAGGAAUGGAAAGUUGCAAAAUCAUCCUGACCAAAGGGACACGCAGCGACGCAGGCCCAACCCUCAGAGCCGAGACCCGGGGCCAGGGGGCUGUGGGCCCAGCUUCUCUCCUCGGCCUCCGACUCCGUGAGCUAUGCUUAGUUCAGGGGCGAAAAGGAGCAAGUUCAUGAUUGUUUAUGGAGAAAAUUCUCUGCCAUUGUUGCCAAAGCAGCAGCCCGUUCACCAGAGUGUGAUAUCAACAUACUAAUCACCAUGAAAUGCACGCGGAUGGCCUGGAACACAGACGAGUAUUUUUAACCCAUCACUUAAACAAGAAAUCAAGCUUGGCGUGGUCACGCGGGACAUCACUGCUUAGCCUCCAGCGGCAGAGCAGCGUGCCGUGCUGACACGGGAUGGAUUUACGCUGCUCGCCCCCCUUCCUGUGGACGGUAAUAGGGAAGAGUCACAACCAGCGUGACUGAGACCACGGCAGCCGCAUGCUGGGCAUCGUCCUAAGCCCUGUACACGACUAUCUCGGUCAAACCCCCACACAACACCUCCGCACCCUCAGCCCCGUGGUGCCAGGUGCUGGCGUUUGCAUAUAUUCGUGAAGUGUUCCUGAAAACCCCAUGACGUGCCUUCUACUGUCAUCCCAGCUUCAAACAGAGAGGGGACCGCUUGCCCCCGGUCAGCGUGGAGCCGGGUGAGACGUCUUUGUGACCUUGUCUGUCCUAAAGGGGUCAUAGGCCGUGCCCCUGAUUUACCCCUGCAGCCAGAGUGAGCCACCUUGAAAGCCACCUUGAAAGAGUGAGCCACCUUCCGCACACGCUCACCGGUGCCACCCUGCGCAGGGCCCCAGGCGAAGGCGGUUUGCGAACAGGCCGCGGGCAGAACCGUCUGGGGGCUGCUUGCUUUUGAGAAGGGGGUGCACGGGGCCCCACGUAUAUACACGGAGCCUAUGUAUCUCCAAUGUGGUGGCCAGCCAUUCUUUUCCCCAAGUUCACUGCCCAGCUCCCGCCCCCUCCCCCCCAAAUCUAUAGAUGACAAUCAGGUUGGUUUUUAUGAUUUAGUGAGAAUCAAAGACAAAGGGGGACUUUUUUUGUCUUGUUUUUGCUAUGACAGCUUUAGAAAUUUGUUGUACUACAUUGAUUCAAUUUUCCUUGAUUUCAGCCAUCUUUCAAUAAUGCAACCUGCUUCUGCUAGCUGGGUAUACAGGAGAAAACCCCAAGGAACUGAGAAUAUUGAAAUGGUUCUACCGUUUCCAUCUUGGAGACAAAUGUGCCUCUCAGAGGAGAGCCGGAUGCAAGCAUGUGGCUCUGCCUAACGACCGUCUACACAUAAGAGACGACACACACACUCCAGUGAUGUCUUACGCAAACAGGGAAAACACUGACCGGCGGGUCUGACCCCAGGCUCCUUCCCUCCUCUCGGCUCUCGUUCCUCAGAGUUGUCACGUGGGCUGGCGUCUUGGAUUUCUUUCUUUUUUAUUAGGAAAACAUCCAAACCAUGUGGAACCAGGCGGCCGAAUGGGGCCUCGCUUAUCAGGCACAACGGAAUGUAUCCCGAUCCUUGCUCUAAACCUGGAAGAGGCUCCUCGGAUGUUUCCCCAAACCCCUCCUCAUGACAAAUAAGCAGGAGGAGGAGAGGGAAAGGAGACUCCGGGCCUAUCCCCCAACCUCCACCUUUUAAAAACGGAAGCAUUUUAAAACACUGAGGCCGAAUUGUUUCAUCUGGCACUUAAAACCUUCCGGCUUAGAGAACACAAGGAGGUGUUGGUCAUAUGUGAUUUGAAGCAAAAAACACGUUAAAAGUGAGUUUCUUUUUCUAAGGAAUAAAUCUGAGCAACACGGAAGUGUUUUCCUUGGAGGCCCCCCCACACCUAGGUACCCCCCCGCCCCCGCCAGAUCCUGGGACCGCAGACCCGGGCCCCACCUGCCCCCAACUCUGGCAGCUUGCUUACCUCUUUUUCAAUUUCUGCCAGAGAUUUGAUGGUGAUCCCCAAGAGAUCAAAGGGCUGCAUCUGUAAACACAGAUCAAGGCAUCCUUUUAAACGGCUGGAAAAUGCUGUUUCACAUUCGCUUUUAUGCAUGACGGCGGUGACAUCUCAAACCACCCUAUGUGAUCUAGCGUUUUCUCUAUUCUCUUUCAGUGGAAACCCACCAGGACUCUAGUGAUCACUGAGGGUACAGGGGUGAGCGACGGGAGCACAUAUUGCAGAAAACCUGGUCGACAACAGGGCUGGCCCCUGCUGGCAGGGACCCUGCCUGGGCAUCUGUCGACAGCACCCAGCAAGGUCACAGCCCUCCUAAAAGACAGUGACUGUCACUGAUCACUUCCGCCUCUUCUCCAUGCCCGUGUCAAAAGCCGGUUUGCUCCUUCCACAGCUGGGGGGCCGGAGGGGCACAGGGCUUCACCACAUGCCACCCUGACUGCUCCAUCUACGUGGUGGGAUGGGUCUAAGCAGUUCCAGGAGGCAGGAUGGUCAGUCUCUUGUCUGGGACUCCUUGACAUCCAGGGAAGGAGCCGGAGGGAGUUCUAGGCCUCUGGAAAUGCAAGGGGAAUGAAGGACGUGCCCAUCAAUUAUCAUUUGAGAAAUGAGAAAUGAUCAGUCGUGGUGAAAACUGGUAACACUGCAUUUUAAUGGGCGUUUCUAGAAGUUCAUGAAGAUGGGAACUUUUUCUGAGGACGCUGGCUUUUCAACAGACGACAUGAAAAAUCAAAUGCACAUGGCAACAAGGGUCAGCUGGAAGCCCGGAGAAGCCUGGGCUGAACGCAUGGUGAGAGGGGACCUGGUCCCUGGGGCCCCUGCUCUGAGCCCUCUCUGGGCACAUCGGGCAUUUCAUAUUCCUGAGGGGGGGGGGUUCCGAAAACAGGCAGCCGGGACGAACAGGUGAAACCGGAGUCUCAGACAAAAGCCCAGGCCUUCGUGGUUUCCAGCCACAGCCCAGAG
Molecule: long non-coding RNA, 2934 nt
Organism: Neofelis nebulosa (Clouded leopard)
Lineage: Eukaryota; Metazoa; Chordata; Mammalia; Carnivora; Felidae
Exons: 3
Source: RefSeq, a predicted model, not a curated record